This 31248-nucleotide long non-coding RNA is filed under the name Malus domestica (apple). RNAcentral's name for it is "long non-coding RNA (MDOM_LNC013620)". The record is from RNAcentral. Lineage: Eukaryota; Viridiplantae; Streptophyta; Magnoliopsida; Rosales; Rosaceae.
UUUUUUUAUGCUUUUGUUAAGCUUCUCACGCUUUACUGCCACUGCCGGGGACUCCUCCAACAUCCUCUCAAUUCCCCCACCGUAAGGUCCCAACAACUCAUUCACAAUCUCAGCUUCCAUCUCUUUGUUCACAAGGUUGAAAACAGACAGCUGCAAGUGCAAUGCCAUGCAGUCCACAAGCCUCCUCAAAACAACCUUCCAAUAAGCAAUCAUUCUCAUUUUAAGGUCAUAAGCUUGAGCUAACACAUGCGGGUACUUCCUCAGAACACCGACUUCCACUUCCCCGAUGCCUUCUAUAUCUAUGAUAGAAGGCUUCUUCUCAUCAGUUAAGACUCCAUGAAUGAAUUCGUUUUGACUAGCCAUCAGCUUGUUCCAUUCGGAAACAUAAUCACCAUCACAUGUAUAAUCUGUCAGCUUUUCCAUCUCUACAAGCUCCAGCAUCCACUUGAUUGACCUCUCCUUCAUCUUGGCCAUUAGACUAUGGCCGGCACGCCUUGCUGACAGCUGCAGCUGAUGAUAGUUAUCCGUAUAAUGCAUCAACACAGAAAUAACCACCUCUUCAAUGUAGUUCCACACUUUUUCCUCAAAUGCAAUCGGAAUACUCGAAAUUUCAUUCACUUUUGCCUGCAAGAUAAUGAGGAAAGCAUUGCGUGGAAGGAAGUUCGGAAGUGAAAUACCUUUGGCCUCCUCCAAGAUCCUGAUCUCCUCCAUCAAGAAGUUGCUCUUUGCAUCAGUUUCAGCACAUCUGUGAAGUUCAUCCGAGUACUGGUUGAGCAUCUCAACCAAUCUAGCAGUGCAGUGCAUGCGAUUGUCUUCCGCGUACUCCUGAAAUUCUCCUCUCAAAAGAAUCUUCCUAAGCGAUUCCUUAGCCAAGCCAGUGAUUUGCAUAAAAGCCGUCAUGGCCUCAGCAACCGAUGAAAGACUCUUUGGCAUUUUGUUCAGCUCCAUAAUGCAGAAGUUCAGCCUGUCAUUGAUCUUCUUCACUAUCUCAGGUAUAUUUCUUGCUAUGCUGUUUGCUUGAAUUUGGACCAGCUUCUGUGCUAAAACUGGAAUGCCGACAAUGGACUUGUCAAUCUUCGAAAGCAGAGGAUGGGUUUGAAAUAGUUCAUGAGCCAUCACCGCUGCCUCCUCAUCAGUUUCGUCACCAAUCCUGUUCCUUACACAGACAUAACCAAGACCAAUGUUUACAUCAUCUCCAGUGACCUUCUCAAGUAGUCCUUCCGGUGCCUUGUCCACUUUCGUAACCACAGCGAGCGUCCUCUCACCAGUUUUAUCUACACUUUGUGACAUCCGGAUUGACUCACACGUAGUAAAAUCCACCGUAGCAGACAAUACAUUCAGAAUAAUACUUUCCUCCGGCUUAAUAUACUCCAUGAUCAUAUCUUUGAUCUGAUCAUAGAUAUUUUCAGGUUGGCCAUGGACUGGAACCCUUGUGAUUCCCGGAAGAUCAACCAUAGUCAGAUCCGGAACCCCAUACUUCUUCACCAACAAAGUAAGUGGCGUGUUUGAAAUUCCCUUACCUCCCCCCGCAAUAGAAUUAGUAGCUUUCACAAUAUCUUUGGUGAUAUUUUCUUCAUCAGUACGAUCAACUCUGCCAUUGUACUCCAAGGAAAGUUCAGGCUGAGGACUCGAGUGGUGUUCGAGCCUCAUAAUAAGAGGCACUCUCGUGCAGAUGCCUUGGCCCCGAGGUAGGCUGAUGCCGGCCAAGGAUUCGAGCACGCUAGACUUCCCGGAUGACUGGUCUCCGACCACCACAAUCGUUGGCAGCUGAAUGCCUUCAUCCAUCACCUUCAAGCUGCGUAACUUGUCUACCGCAUCCAGAAGAGGGCGGAUCUUGUCGUUAUAGGACGACACAAUGGGUGCGCAUUUGAGGGGUACUGCGUCUAGUCCUGCCUGAACCAUUGCGAGGGAGCCUUCACCGUUUAUAACUGUGCGACUCGAUUCCAUUUUCCUUGGUCCUUGCGUUUCUGAAUUAUAGCAAGUCAAAACAAUGGUGAAAAAUCUAGAGGGAAACCGAGAUUGUAGAGAGAUGAGAGAGAAUUCGAAGAUGGAAAAUGUUCUGUAUUGGGUUUAUGACUUAAUGGAGUAAAAUGUUCUAUUUAUAGCUACUGCUAUAUAUCAUUCUUAGCCCUUAAGCAACUUAACUGACUCUCAAUCAACAAUAGCAACACAUCUAACAAAAAUGCUACUUUUCCGAUAUAUUUGUACCAUCAUUUGCUUACAUUGAUAAAUCGGACUCAUACUCAUAAGCUGACAUGGCAGCCACAUGACUUAAAAGUAAGAAGAUUACUUGUCAGCGAAGAUAUCAGUCAGGAAGAAGUGAGAAAGCUGGGUUUAGUAAGUGCCUUAGGCUUAAAGGCUCCUAGUUGUAUGUAUAAUUGUUCAGCAAAACCUAUCGAAGUAAAUGACAACCAGCCUUUUCAAAACCGCAUGCUGAGAGAGUUGUGAUUUGGACUUCCAAACGUUCAGCAAACCAAACCGCUUGCGAGCCUUUGAACUUCUAAACCCUAAUCAGUGUAAAUGUAAUAUGGACAGUUAACUGAUAACCAUUUUUUGUGCUUGAUGCUCUUGAACUUCAGUCAACCUUUAUAUAUUAUUCAUUCAAAUAAUCGAUGACUAGCUAGCCAAUGUAAGUUGUAACCCAACAGAGACGAGAUGUUGAAGAAAAUUAAAUAUUUUUUGUAAUUUGGUAAGACAAACAAAGGCACCCAUUGGAGAAAGGGAAGUGCUAGCAGCCUUUGCCCUAACAUUUGUGUUUGGACCUCUUCACUUUAACAACUAACAGGUAUCAUUUUCUAUACAAAAAAGCAAGAAUUUUAAAGCUUUUGUCUAGGAAUUAACGAUGAGAAAUAUAAAAUAUACAUUAUUAUGUCAUUCAUUAAAAUGAAAAUUUUCAAAUGCAAAAGUUAGUGCAAAAGUGUAUUUCUCUUAGAAAAAUUCAAUCUAACAACCAAAAUUAAAGUUAACAAAAAAAAGUAGAGAACUUAAUUCAUAUUGAAUCUACCCUUAUGAUCGUGCUCCAGAAAAAUUGAGAAGGAUGCAGGGUUUUUGAAUUUGGUAAAGCUUAAGGAUUAAGGUUGCUGUUUUUUUUUUUUUUUUUUUUUUUUUUUUUUUUUUUUGGAGAAAAGUGGAAGAGAAAGAGCCUUUGAAGAUUCCUUUCUGAGUUUUCACAUUGUGGGGAUUUUGUUUCACUUUUACCAUUGUAAGACCAUAGAUAAUGGAUGCUGACAUGGUUGGACAGAUGUCGAAUAGUGGUGUGGUAUGCCCAAUCGGUUUAGGUUGCUGAAAAUAGCAACUUUAACUAAAAAUAGUGCAGGACUUUAAAAGAGGAAGGGGAAAUAAGAGUUUGAGGAAAAAGAGGCAACUUUAAUUCAUCAUUUCAUAGGUUCUUUACGCUCUCCAUUAUUACAUAUUUAUGCUCCUCAUAAAAGAGAAAAUAGAGUUUUAACGAAAAGCCCGCGGUACUGUUCACUUUAAUGAAAAACCACAUUUUUACACUAAAAAGUCAAAUCUGGUACUAUUCAUAUUACUCUUUAUUUUGUUCUUAUCGUUAAAAUUCAAAGUUUUAAAGCAUUUUUCAUUAGUUUUCCUAAGAGAACAACCCUAGCUACUUGGACAUAAAAAAAAAGGCUAGUACGGGCAAGUUGCAAGAGGAGAAGUAGUGGGCUCAAGUAAAUGGGCUUAAUAACUCCCCCCUCUCCUUGAGAAUAGGCCUGACCUUAGGUCAAGAAAUCGAGGUAACGGGCCAAGAUGUCGUCAGCUUCCUCCCAGGUGACAUCUUCAGUGGGUAGGCCAACCCACUUGAUCAACCAUUUUGUCGCAGCUUUAUUUUUUUUUCUUGAAUAUGCCCUUGUCUAAAACUCUUUCUGGUUGCCAGUGUAGAACCCCAGUGGAGUCGAUAGGAGGCAAAACUGACAGUGGAGGAGAAAUACUACCAAUCUUUUGUUUAAGGAGAGACACAUGAAAGACGGGGUGGAUUUUGGAGUCUAAAGGCAAACGAAGCUGAUAUGCUACGAAACUGAUGCGCUUAGUUAUCUGAAAAGGUCCAUAGAACUUGGGUGCCAGCUUGUUUGUUGUUCUAGUAGCCACUGAUUGUUAGCGGUAUGGUUAAAGCUUCAGGUAAACCCAGUCACCAACAUUAAAUUCCCGCUCAGUUCUCUUGUUAUCAUAGACUUGUCUCAUUUUGUUCUCUGCAAGCUGCAAAUUUGUUCUCAUAAGACAGAUUAAUUUGUCCUUAUCCUGUAUUGCAGCAUCAAUUGAGUGUACCGUCGUGGAGCCGAGCAUAUACAUGCAAAGGUGGUUCAAUGUCAUAAACAGCCUGAUAUAGAGACAUUUUGAUGGAAGAUUGGAAGCUUGUAUUAUACCACCAUCUAGCCCAGGGAAUGAGAGAAGACCAAUUGGUGGGUUUGUCUAUUGAGAAACAUCGAAGAAAAUGUUCCAAUGUGCAGUUAAGGACUUUCAUUUGCCUAUUCGUUUGAGGGUGGUAACCUAAACUUAGGCAAAGUUUGUUGCCUUGGAGUUUAAAGAACUCUUGCCAAAAGUUACUAAGAAAAUUGGGUCGCGAUCUGAAACGAUCUAUUUUGGCAUACCAUGGAGUCAGAAAACCUCAUUGCUGAAAGUAUCAGCUACAAAGGCAACUGUGUAUGGGUGCUUUAAUGGGAUAAAGUGGCCAUACUUUGAUAGGCGAUUGAUGACAACUAGGAUCACGGUGUACGCGUUGGAAAAUGGGAGCCCUUUGACAAAAUCAAGAGUGAUGUCCUGUCAUAUGCCAGUGGGGAUGAGCAAGGGAUGCAGUAACCUAGGAGGGUGUUUUGUAUGCAUUAAGCCACAAUUUUUUUUUGUUUCCUUUCGAAUUCCCGGCCAUAAAACUUUUUUGGAGAGUCUUUUGUAUGUUCAAAGGAAGCCCAAGUGACCAUCUUAGAGAGAUGCAUGGAAUUCAUCCAAGAGUUUAGGUUGCCAUUGGGAUGUGAGUAGUGGGACAAAGAUCUGUUGCUUGUAGUGCAACACAUCAUUUAUAAUUGAGAACCCUUUGAUUGAAGUGUUGGGUAUUGGAACUAAAAGAUUCCAAACCUUUUGCACUUCUAGAUCCUAUGCAUAAGACUGUUGCAACUGAGGAAUGCAAUCAAAUAUAGGGGUAGAGAGGCCUAUUAAGAGCAAAAGUUCUUGUUGGCAGGAGAUAGCAUAUGGAGCACUGUUUUGAGAACCCGACCUAUACUCGACCGAGUAGUUGUACCCCAACAAUUUCACCAGCCAUUUUUAAUUUUUUUCACAAAAACUGUAAGUUAUAACUCACGUUUUCCAAUCGAUUUUAAGAACUUUUACAAGAUUCAUUAUAAGCCAAAAUUUGAGUCGUUUUAGUCGCACCACAUGUUUUCUAAAAUUAAUUUAGGACAUCCCAAAUAUUUUUCAACACCUACAAAUUUCUUUGGUGGCUUCACUAUUAGUUUAUACUAUUUUUCUAACUCAUAGUAACAACGAAAAAAUUUCUCAGCAUGACCAAAAUGAUUGAUGGUGCAUCAGAGACUACUUUUAUCGAUUUCAAAUUUGAAGGACUAAAGUAAGGAGUUAUGCCAGAAAGUGGCCCUCUACCACAGUGGUGGAGAGGAGUAUUGGCCUUACACUACGACAGAGCUUCGAACCAUGACGGCUCCCUAAUCUAACAUCUAAUUAAAAAAUCUAUUGUUUGACGAAGAAAAAAAAGUAAGGAGUUAUGUCAAUUUCAAAAUCCGUUUUGGCCCCUUUUUAACAUGGAUGGAGGGUUUCAAAUUCCUUGUUACUACCUUUUAGGGGUUUUAUUAAAUUUUAUGAAUUUUUUUGUUGGUAUAUUUGAGCGUGUCUUUAAAAUGAUUAAAAUUGUUUUAAUAUAAUAAAAUAAAAAGUGUUUAUGACAACAUUUUGACCAAAAAAAGGACUUUAUGGAGAGGUCUAUGAGCAAAAUGCAACUCUUACUACCUAUUUGUACUAUAAUUUGUACCACUAAUAAAGAUGAGACUCACAUGCGUUGGCGAGCCUUACCUCUAUUAGAGAUAUAGUAGAAAUAUAUGGUAAAUGUAGCAUUACUCGUCUAUGAGUGUUUUCAACGGAGUACAAUUCUCUGUCAUCCUAUUCCUAGUGUGGUUUAGUCCAUACUAAGUGUAUGGAUUCUAACAAACGAUCAAUUAAAACAUGAAAUCUAAUAUGGACAUUUAAUUAAAUGUUUAUUAAUAUUUACGGUGCGGUUCGGUUUCGGUGUAGUUUUCAAAAGCCAAAACCGAAACCAAACCGUUUUCUAUGUUGCGGUUCGGUUUCAAAACCGAAACCGUUUCAAAACCGCAAAACCAAACCAUUCGGUGCGGUUUGAUUUGGUUCGUGUUUUGGUUUCGGUUUUCGGUUCUAAGUGCCAAUCCCUAGGAGAGCGUGUCCCUUUUUUUUGAAAAAUAUGGAUCAUUUCCCUUAAGCUCCUCCUACACACACACACACACACACACACACACACACACACACAUAUAUAUAUUAAAAUGAUAACCUUUCUUGGAUAGAACUGAGCAUAUAAACAUGCAAAGGUAAUGUUAGAGAGACCAAAGUUUUAAACAAAAUAAUGUGUUACCAAUAAAAAAUAAGCACGUUAAUCAACGCUAAAGUAAUAAUUCAAUUAUCAAUAAGCACAUCAUUUGGUUUGUAAAUUUGAUUUAAAAAAUUUGGUCUCCCUAACAUUAUCCAACCUGCAAACAAGUUUAAUUAUCUUAGACAAGCAACAUUAUUUACAUAUUUACUUUCAGGCAAUUACAAAUUUGACGUCGAAAAGAAGAUUUAAGGAAAAUGGUUUUCUUAUUAAUUAGGAUUUUUACAAUGCGUGUCGCAUUCUUUACCUAAAGUUUUUAUGUCUGUCAGAUUGGUUAUGAAAGCUCACUGUCAUAUUAAUAAACGGUAUUAUAAGCAGAAAACAUGAGACAAAAAAUAGGAGUUAAACUGUAUGUAAGAGGAAAUCGCACUUAAAUUUCAUUAAUAACAGUAAACUUGACAAGGAUUACCACAAUCAUACGACUACGGACUAUUACACAACAAGAACACAAGGGAAACAAAAGAACUUAAAAACAAAAGUUGACUAACAAACAACCACCCACAUCAGACAACAGAAAGCUAAUUGCCAAGUUAGUUAAUCACCAUAAGUGAUAAUGCUGUCCAUAAUCUUGGCCACCACCUCCUUCGAAUCCCUCAGUUUUUUUAUGCUUUUGUUAAGCUUCUCACGCUUUACUGCCACUGCCGGGGACUCCUCCAACAUCCUCUCAAUUCCCCCACCGUAAGGUCCCAUCAACUCAUUCACAAUCUCAGGCUCCAUCUCUUUGUUCACAAGGUUGAAAACAGACAGCUGCAAGUGCAAUGCCAUGGAGUCCACAAGCCUCCUCAAAACAACCUUCCAAUAAGCAAUCAUUCUCAUUUUAAGGUCAUAAGCUUGAGCUAACACAUGCGGGUACAUCCUCAGAACACCGACUUCCACUUCCCCGAUGCCUUCUAUAGUUAUGAUAGAAGGUUUAUACUCGUCAGUUAAGACUUCAUGAAUGAAUUGAUUUUGACUAGCCAUCAACUUCUUCCAUUCGGAAACAUAAUCAUCAUCACAUGUAUAAUCCGUUAGCUUUUCCAUCUCUACAAGCUCCAGCAUCCACUUGAUUGACCUUUCCUUCAUCUUGGCCAUUAGAUUAUGGCCGGCACGCCUGGCUGACAGCUGCAACUGAUGAUAGUUCUCCGUAUAAUGCAUCAACACAGAAAUAACCACCUCUUCAAUGUAGCUCCACACUUUUUCCUCAAAUGCUAUCGGAAUACUCGAAAUUUCAUUCACUUUUCCUUGCAAGAUAAUGAGGAAAGCAUUGCGUGGAAGGAAGUUCGGAAGUGAAAUACCUUUGGCCUCCUCCAAGAUCUUGAUCCCCUCCAUCAAGAAGUUGCUCUUUGCACCAGUUUCAGCACAUAUGUGAAGUUCAUCCGAGUACUGUUUGAGCAUCUCAACCAAUCUAGCAGUGCAGUGCAUGCGAUUGUCGUCCGCAUAGUCCUCAAAUUCUCCUCUCAAAAAAAUCUUCCUAAGCGAUUCCUUAGCCAAGCCAAUGAUUUGCAUAAAGGCUGUCAUUGCCUCGGCAACAGAUGAAAGACUCUUUGGCAUUUUGUUCAGCUCCAUAAUGCAGAAGUUCAGCCUGUCAUUGAUCUUCUUCACUAUAUCGGGUAUAUUUCUUGCUAUGCUGUUUGCUUGAAUUUGGACCAGCUUCUGUGCUAAAACUGGAAUACCGACAAUGGACUUGUCAAUCUUCGAAAGCAGGGGAUGGGUUUGAAAUAGUUCAUGAGCCAUCGCCGCUGCCUCCUCAUAAGUUUCGUCACCAAUCCUGUUCCUUACACAGACAUAACCAAGACCAAUGUUUACAUCAUCUCCAGUGACCUUCUCAAGUAGUCCUUCCGGUGCCUUGUCCACUUUCGUAACCACAGCGAGCGUCCUCUCACCAGUUUUAUCUACACUUUGUGACAUCCGAAUUGACUCACACGUAGUAAAAUCCACCGUAGCAGACAACACAUUCAGAAUAAUACUUUCUUCCGGCUUAAUAUACUCCAUGAUCAUAUCUUUGAUCUGAUCAUAAAUAUUUUCAGGUUGGCCAUGGACCGGAACCCUUGUGAUUCCCGGAAGAUCAACCAUAGUCAGAUCCGGAACCCCAUUCUUCUUCACCAACAAAGUAAGUGGCGUGUUCGAAAUUCCCUUACCUCCUCCCGCAAUAGAAAUAGUAGCUUUCACAAUGUCUUUGGCGAUAUUGUCUUCAUCAGUACGAUCAACUCUGCCAUUGUACUCCAGGGAAAGUUCAGGCUGAGGACUCGAGUGGUGUUCCAGCCUCAUAAUAAGAGGCACUCUCGUGCAGAUGCCUUGGCCCCGAGGGAGGCUGAUGCCGGCCAAGGAUUCGAGCACGCUGGACUUCCCCGAUGACUGGUCUCCGACCACCACAAUCGUUGGCAGCUGAAUGCCUUCAUCCAUCACCAUCAAGCUGCGUAACUUGUCUACCGCAUCCAGAAGAGGGCGGAUCUUGUCGUUGUAGGAUGACACAAUGGGUGCGCAUUUGAGAGGUACUGCGUCUAGUUCUGCCUGAACCAUGGCGAGGGAGCCUUCACCGUUUAAAUCUGUGCAACUCGAUUCCAUUUGCCUUGGUCCUUCCGUUUCUGAAUUAUAGCAAGUGAAAAUAAUGGUGAAAAUUCUAGAGAGAAACCGAGAUAAUUUCAAGCUUAAUUAGCUAAAGAAUUGAGGUUCUCUGGCAGUUUACCCUCCAGUUUAUAACAUUUUUUUACUAAGAAUGUUUUCAGGUAAGGGAAAACACCACUUUCGUGAUCCAGUAGGAAACGGAGCCUUUCUUUCAACCGCUGCAUUUCCACAAACUCAAGAGACUCUAAUACCCGAAAAGGCAAGUUACGCUCUCCUUAAAACUCAGCACCAAUUCGAAGAUGGAGUAAAAUGUUCUGUAUUGAGUUUGUGACUUAGUGGAGUAAAAUGUCCUAUUUAUAGUGAUGCAGUACAAGACUCUCAUGCAUGUAUUGGAAUCUACCAAGAGUUGGAACCAUCAAAUAUAUUUAAUGGAGUUUUAGAGCAACACAACUAAUUAAGUAGUCAUUUAAGACCAUUUUAAAUAUUUUGGGUAGAGCAAAAGUCCAAUUCGGACUAGAGUUUCAUUGUGUUGUAUUCCUUAUAAAUAUAUGUACUAAUUGUAUUCCUUAAAUGACUACUUAAUUAGUUGUGUUGCUCUAAAACUCCAUUAAAUAUAUUUGAUGGUUCCAACUCUUGGUAGAUUCCAAUACAUGCAUGAGAGUCUUGAUUACUACAUCAUUUAGCUACUGCUAUGUGUCAUUCUUAGCCUUCAAGCAGCUUAACUGACUCUCAGUCAACAAUAACAACACAUCCAACAGCUUAAGGAUUGCUGUUUUUAGUGGAGAAAUGUGGAAGAGAAAGAGCCUUUGAAGAUUCCUUUAUGAGUUUGCACAUUGUGGGAGAUUUUGUUUCACUUUUACCAUUGUCAGGCCAUAAUCAUGGAUGUUGACAUGGUUGGACAGAUGUCGAAUGAUGGUGUCAUUGGGCCCCCACCAUCAAAGAAAAAGCAGUCCCCAUGGGGCAUCUAAGCGGAAAGAGAAUCCAUUAUAGUAUAAAGAUUUAGCAUUCACACUCAUAGCUUCGACAUCAAUCAUUUUCUUCCUUGCCGAUGUUCUUUAUAUUUUGCUUUCUUUAUUUCUUGAUAAGUUGUUUCUGGAUGAUAUUUUUUUAGAAUCUCUUGGAUGUCGUAUGCGUGCUACGUCACUCGUUUGUAUCAAAACACGCAUAAACAUUAUUUCUUUCAAUCGAGAUUUAAAAUUAAAAGUCUACAUACACUUUUUUGUUGUAAUUUGACUGAUGGACCAUAAUGUUGGAUUGUGAACUACCUUAGUACAUAUGUGUAGAAGUGUGGCAGGUGACGUAAGCAUAAAUAAUCAUUUUAACAUGCAUGUUAGCAAAAUGUUAAAUUGUGUUUAAUCAUAUUAAAUUAAUUUAUGUAUUGGUUUUGUUCAGGUAUAAUAAAAUUAAAAACACAUGUAUAAACUUAGUGUAAGUUUUAGGAUUCUCACCUUUAGAUUUCAUAGGUGGACAAAUUCAAUGUUGUUAAAGAUCCCAAGUGUUAGCCCUCAACUAGUGUCUACACGAAUAAAUAUCUGGCUAGUGAAGCAAAAAAACGACAAUUUGCUAGAACUUUAUCCAUCAGGUAGGUGUUGCCAUAAAGGGAUUUGGUAUGGUGUUUUGUUUUUCAAUUCUCUAAAUUGGAAAACCUAUUUCUUUUCUCUCUAAUAUCUAUUUGCGAUUAUUGAAUUCUCACACUAUGUUACAUAGACCCCUUAGGCUUAUAAAAAGAACAAUCUGUAAUUAAGCCAAUUGUGUGUUGCACGCCCUAGGGAAAUUUUUUAGAAACUUUUGGGUUCACUAGUCUGUAUCACGUCACUCGCUUGUCUCAAGAAGAGAUCCUUUCACAUCACCAGUUUACCACACUAAAAUUUUGAAUUUAUUAGAUGGAUAAUACAAUUUGUUUAAUAAAUGACCAACUUUACAAAUAUUUUUGUGAAGUGAUUUCACACAUAUUUUUUAGCUUUUACACACCCAUGUUUAAUUUUAGAUGUUGAUUCCGUUUGAUUUAUUUAAUCUGGUGGCCAUAAAUAAAGAGAGGUACGUGGAAAACUAAAAAUGGUGUGUGAAAAUCCUUGACACUACUAAGCAUGAAUUUUAGUAAGAUGAAAAAAGACCUUCGCUUGAUACCCGUGGGAGGACGUGACAUGACUUCCUUUAUUGAAGGAUGAGGAAUGCUAAUGUGACUUUCAAAAGUAGGACUUUCUAAUGACUCUCUGCCACCUCAUAGCUAGUUUAAUGUCAAUUCAUUCACGUGCCAACAUUAUAACACAAAUGCUAGGAAGGCUACAUUUAUAGACAAAAUUUGUAUACUAAAUGACAUGAAAGUUGAUGAUUAUAUUAUUAUUUAAGCGUUGAUAAACGUGCUCAUUUUCUAUUGGUAACAAGUCAUUUAGUUUUCAAAUUUUGUCUACAAAUUUAGUCUCCAUAGCAUUACCUGCAUUAUAAAGUAUUGUGCCAAAUAUAUGAGCUGACAAAGAGUCCAUAGAGAGUCUCAAUUUUGAGUCUCAUUAGCAUUUAUCUUCAAGAAUUUAUCCACAUUCUCCUCACGUAAUAAUUUCACCAAAAAUGUUUUCUAAAUGCUCACUUAUCAAGAUUAAACCCCCGUUUGGUAUUUUAUUUUUUGGGUAAAAGACUGUUUACUACCCUCAUGUUUCGUGGUUUUCAACAUUUAGUACAUCAUGUUUUUUUCGUCUCAGAGUCAUACCUAAAGUGUAAAUUUUGGGACAGUCUCAUACAUCCGUUAGUCAAACUGUUAAGUUUUUCGUUAACUGUGACGUGGCGCACUGACUGGGCGCCACGUGUCAUCCACGUUUUUUUUUUUUCUUUUUCUUUUUUCUUUCUUUUCUUUUCUUCUUCUUCCUUCUUCUUCUUCUUCCUCCGACUGCAACUUUUUUUUUUUUUUUUGCUUCUUCCUUUUCCUUCUUCCUUCCUUCCUCCUUCCUUUCCCUUUCUUCCCCUUCUUCCUUCUUCUUCCUUCUUCUUCCUCCGAAAUCUGGGGAAUGUUUUUUUUUUUCUUUCUUCUUCUUCCUCCUUCCUUCCCCUUCUUCCUUCUUCUUCUUUCUCCUUCUUCUUCUUCUUCUUCUUCCUCCGAAAUCUGGGGAAGUUUGUUUUUUUUUUUCUUUCUUUCUUCUUCUUCCUCCUUCUUCUUCUUCUUCUUCUUCCUCAAAAAAAAAAAAAAAAAAACACUUUUAUCUUUUCUUCCUCUUCUUCUUCUUCUUCUUCUUCUUUCUCUUUCCUCCUUCCUUCUUCUCCUUCUUCUUCUUCUUCUUCUUCUUCCUCCGAAUCUGCCCAGAUUCAAUUUUUUUUUUCUUCCUCCUUCUUCUCCUUCUUCUUCUUCUUCCUCCGAAUUUGGGGGAAGAUGAAAGUGUUUUUUUUUUUUUGAGGAAGAAGAAGAAGAAGAAGAAGAAAGAAAGAAAAAAAAAAAAAACAUUCCCCAGAUUUCGGAGGAAGAAGAAGGAAGAAGAAGGAAGAAGGGGAAGAAAGGGAAAGGAAGGAGGAAGGAAGGAAGAAGCAAAAGGAAGAAGCAAAAAAAAAAAAAAAAAAACAAAAACAGAAAGUUGCAGUCGGAGGAAGAAGAAGAAGAAGGAAGAAGAAGAAAAGAAAAGAAAAAAAAAAGAAAAAAAAAAACGUGGAUGACACGUGGCGCCCAAUCAGUGCGCCACGUCACAGUUAACGAAAAACUUAACAGUUUGACUAACGGAUGUAUGAGACUGUCCCAAAAUUUACACUUUAGGUAUGACUCUGAGACGAAAAAAACUUGAUGUACUAAAUGUUGAAAACCACGAAACAUUAGAGUAGUAAACAGUCUUUUACCCUUAUUUUUUUCAACAAAAGUUGCUUCACUUUAAAGUUAAGCAGUAAGAAUGUGUUUGGUAAAAAUAAAUUAUUUUGCUUAUAUUAAAAGUAAUGCAUGUCCUCCAGACAGCAACUUUUAAAAGCAGCAUGUAGGUAAAGCUGUUUUUAAUAAAAAGCAGAAUUGAGCUUUCAAUGAAUAUUUUUAAUUCCUGUAAUAUGCUCAAUAAUUUUAGAAAAUAACAUUAUUUAUUCUUGUAGGCACAUUUUAUCAUUGGAGAACAAAGUGACCACCACUAUAAACCCUAACCUCUUACACUACCAUUGCCAUGAUCACCACCAUUGUUGCCACCACCACCACACUACAAUUGCGCCACCACCACUACAACCAUACACACCACCGCUACCUUUGCCAUCAUUACCACCACACCGCCGCCGCCGCCGCCACCACCACCAUAAACACAACUGCCACCAUCAAUGUUGUUGCCACCCCUACGACCAAUGUUGCCUCUGCAGCCCAACCACCACCACCAUCCCAACCCUUACCCUUAUCACUGUUGUCGUCGUCACCACCAACAUUGUUACGUCUAUUUUUGUCAUUAUAUACAAUUAUAAAUUAUCAAACGCUUUUACGCCGUUUUUCAUACUCAACACUUUUAAAAAUACAAUUCAUCUAACACUCAACUGCUUUAUUUUGUAGCAGAUUAUUCUUAAAGCACAUCAGAAGCACUUUUUUUUAAAGCACAUCAAUCUCAAAAUGGCCGUAAGAUUAUGAGUUUUUCAAUUGAGAUAAAUAUAUAAUUUAUUUGACCAAAACGAUUUUAAAUUAUUUGUAAUAAGAUCACGCGAAAGAAGAACAUAAACGUUACACAUGAAAUUAAACCAAAGCAAAUGAUUUUCUUGGGUUUUAACACCCAUAUAUUUUUUGUUGGUUUAUCAUUUUCACCGAGCUCCACCUCAUUUAUACUUAAAGAAAUGUAUUAUGUUCCGAUCCAGAAACCAAGCUCCACCUCAUCAAUACUUGGAUAAUUUGAUGCAUUACUUUUGUUUCCUUUCUCAAUUUGGAGGCCCAAACAAGAAACAAAGCUACACUAGACAAAGACAACUGCUGUAUAGUGGGUGUUUUAGAAACUUAAAGGAAAGAAACUCAAAAGCUUCAAUUUGUUUGUCGUGCUCCUUUAACUUCCUCUUUUACUGUUAUACAAGCGAAAACAAGAGAGAUUUAAUGAGUAAAGGGAUACUUUACGCCUUGAUAUACAAGUUUAUUGUCAUGAUCUAGCAAGGUUUCUUCUAAGGAUCUUGGCUUUCUUUGUCUAUAAAGAAGUUGGGUUUUUGGUUGUUUAAUUAAUUUCUACUAGAAUUGCAAGAUAAAAAGGGAUACAAACACUACAAGAAAGCCGGGCUUAUGUGACGACAGAUAUUCGUCAUAGAAAAUAAAAAUGCGUCACAUUUGAUAAUAUGUGACGCCUUUACAGCGUCACUGCGAACGUCACCUAUGAUGCGUCACGGAAAGUAUAAGUGACUAAUUUUAAAAGCGCCACAUAUUUGUAGUAUAUGUGACACUGUUUUCGUCAAUUAAUAGGAGAUUGUGACGGAUUAGGCGUCACAAAAGAAUAAAUUAUGUGACCUAUAUAAUUCGUAAUGUAUGAAAUAGAUAAGUGACACUGAAGGCGUCACAUUUUUCUUCCAUUUGUGGCAUAGCUUGGGUCACUUAUGUCAAAAUAAAAUAUCUAUUUUGAAAAUAUAUGUGACAAACCAAUACAAUUCCCUAUUUAUAAUAUGAUGUUACAAUUCCUUGUUUAUAAAAAAGAAUCAAUUAUGUGACCUAUAUAAUUCGUCACUUAUGAAAUAGAUAACUAACACUGAAAGCGUCACAUUUUUCUUCCAUUUAUGGCACAGCCUGGAUCACUUAUGUCAAAAUAAAAUAUCUAUUUUGGAAAUAUAUGUGACAAACCAAUACAUAUUCCCUGUUUAUAAUCUGAUAUUACAAUUCAUUGUUUAUAAAAAAGAAUAAAUUACAUGACCUAUAUAAUUUGUCACUUAUGAAAUAGAUAAGUGACGCUGAAAGUGUCACAUUUUUCUUCCAUUUGUGGCGUAGCCUGGGUCAUUUAUGUCAAAAUAAAAUACCUAUUUUGGAAAUAUAUGUGAUAGACCAAUACAUAUUCCCUGUUUAUAAAGGAUCAAGGGACAAACAUUUUGACAAACAUAUAUAUAUAUAUAUAUAUAAUAUAUAUAUGUUUUUUUUUUUAAGAUGAUAACAUUUCCUGAAUAAAACUGAGAAGAUAUAUAAACCGGCAAGCAAGUUUAUUUAUCUUAAGAAAGUAACAGUAUUUCCAUAUUCACUUUCAGGUUAUUACAACUUUGACGUCGAAAAAAUAAGAACAUUUAGGGAAGAUGUUUUUCUCAUAAGUUAGGGUUUCUUCAAUGUUUGUCGGUUUCUUUACCUAAGUAAGUUUUUAUCUGUCAAAUUAGUUACGAAGGCUUACUGUCAAAUUGAAUGAAAGGUAAUGAAAGCAGAAAAUAGAAAACAAAAUAUCGGAGUUGACUAUUGGUAGGAUGAAUUUGAGUUAAAUUUCUUUGAAAACUUUAAAAUUGACAAGGAUUACCAAAACUAUACAAUUACCACAUAACAAGAACACAAAGGAAACUACGAGCUUGUUUGGUAUCCUAUUUGAAAAUUAUUGUCAUUUCUCAAAACAUUUCUUGAAAACAAUUUUCUUUAAGACUAAAAAACUUGACUGGUUUGCGAUUUACAAUUUUUAAAUCUUACAACUAAAAUUAGGCAAAGAGAUCUAAAAAGAGGGGAUCGUAGGAGAGGGAGAAAGAGGAGAGAAGAGGAAAGAAAGCAAGAGAUGAUUGAAGAAAAGAGAAAGAAGAGAGAGAAUCGAACAAAAGAGAGAGGAAGAGGAGUGAGAGAAAGAACAUAGAGAAUGAAAAGAGCAGAUUGAAAGAGAGACGAAACAUGUAAAAAAAUAAAAAUAAAGAGGAGAGAGAGAGAGAAGAAAAGAGAGAGAUUUGGAGUGAGAGGGGAGAAGGGAGAGAAGAAAAAAAAGUGUGAGUUUAAGUUUAAAAACUCUAAAAACUCACUUUUUAUGUUUUUAGAUAAUAGACUAUAUUUUUGAGUUAGUCUUGAGUUUAGUUUUUUAAGUAGUCUUACCAAAGACUAAAACUUGAAAAUUGUUUUUGAGUUUAAAAAAUUGGAUUCAAGGAAAGUAUCAAACAGACGCUAAAAAACUUGAAACAAAAGUUUACAAACAAACAACCAACGACAUAAGGAAAACAGACUGCAUACUUUUAUUUACACCAUUUUGUAGUACCCUCAAAACUAAUUGGCAAGUUAUUUAAUUACCAUAAGUGAUAAUGCUGUCCAUAAUCUUGGCCACUACCUCCUUAGAAUCCCUAAGCUUUUUUAUGCUUUUGUUAAGCUUCUCACGCUUUACUGCCAUUGCCGGCGACUCCUCCAACAUCCUCUCGAUUCCCCCAUCGUAAUGUCCCAUCAACUCAUUCAUAAUCUCAGCUUCCAUCUCUUUGUUCACAAGGUUAAAAACAGACAGCUGCAAGUGCAAUGCCAUGAAGUCCACAAACCUCCUCAAAACAACCUUCCAAUAGGCAGUCAUUCUCAUUUUAAGGUCAUAAGCUUGAGCUAAAACAUGCGGUUACUUCCUCAGAACACCGACUUCAACUUCCCCGAUGCCUUCUAUAGCUAUGAUAGAAGGUUUAUUCUCGUCAGUUAAGACUCCAUGAAUGAAAACAUUUUGACUAGCCAUCAACUUGUUCCAUUCGGAAACAUAAUCAGCAUUGCAUGUAUAAUCUGUCAGCUUUUCCAUCUCUACAAGCUCCAGCAUCCACUUUGACACGCCCUGAUCCGGAUGUCCUGGAGACAUCGGGAUAGUCACGUGCUGGCCGACACCCGAGGGGUGACGAAAGCCAUUUAAAAGGCAUAAGAACGAGAAAUAUGAAUUUAAUAUAACAUUUAAUAGGCAUUUAAGGAACGUGUUCAGAGCAUAUAACUAAUUAGAAUACUAGGAAAAAAAUGAUAUAAAAAUUGAAUAAACAAAAGGAGUGGGUCCUACACCGAGAGGACUCGAAGAUGCCAAUGUAGAAGUGUCUUGACGCCGGGAUUGUAUGCCUCGAUUCUAAGCCCUGAAGGGGGCGCAAAACAAAGGUGAGUGGACCAGUUUGAUAUACAUAUAAUAAAACAGUUAUCAACAUACUAACCCCCUGAUUUUUAUGAAAACACAUAUAUGUAUCAUGAUAAACAUAAGUUUUCCGAAACCUAGAAUGUCGUGCAAUAUCUCAAAUCAUAACUCGCAAAACAUAAUAAACACUAGUGUCAAAUGUCCACAUAUAUCCAUCCAGGCCCUAUGUCAUCUCCCCAUCCCUGAGCAUACAGUCAAAGAAAAUAUGACUUCAGGCCCUAUGCUAGCUCCACUGUCCCUGUUCUAAAUAGUCAGAGGGAAAUACACUCCAGGCCCUAUGCCAACUCCACCGUCGCCCGGGAUGGACCGAAAUCUAUCCCUACAUCCCGUAGCGGAAAUUGGGACAGCUAGGUAAUACAGAAUCAUCGCACAUAUAUUUAUUCAAAAGUAACAUCAUAUAUCAUUCUUAUAAACUCAUGCUUUUUAUGCGUGCAAUUCUACUAAUAAAGCAUGUAUUUUAGAAGGGGUCCACUCACAGUACUUCACCGUCGAAAGCCGCGCUGCUAACAAAGAUAGAAACGCCACAAUAAUUGCCCCUAAGCACAUAAACGUUCCAAUUAAUAAAUCUUUAUUAAAACAAUUGAAUUUGAGAAAACGGACGUCGAAAACGGAUUCAAGACGUUGAAUUACCUUAAGAAGGGUCCUGGAUAAAUUUCGUAAACGUCAAUAGAAUAUUCCACAUCAAGAGUUUGGGCCGGCUAGGGUUUAAGGGUUUAGUGCUUAAGGCCCUAGGUUAAAAAGGUUUGGGUUAGACUUUUAAAAAGGUUAGGCUUAGGUUAAAUAGGUUUAGGGCUUAGGAAGUUGGGUUGGGUCCUUAAGGGUUUUGGGUUUCUAGGUUAAAGGGUUAGGAAAUUGGGUUGAUAAAAAGGGCCUAGGGUAAAUAAUUGGGUUUGGGCUUAAAAGGGUCACGGAUUGGGCUGGAGACCCGUGGGUUUUGGGCUGGUUUCAAAGGACUUGGGUCGAGUUGAUUCGUUUUCAGGCCAAUGAAAUGGUCGAUUUCUGGGUAUCACUUCGAACGCCCAUAACUUCUUCGUUACUCAUCCAAAAUAAGUAAUCCAAACAUGAAAGUUGUAGUACUCGACGAGAUGAAGAGAUUGAUACCCUGCACUCCGCCAAACUCUCCGUGGUUUGGCCGGAAAACACCUCGAAAGGGGCGGUGCUCGUCGGAAAACUGGGUUUUUUGGCCGAAUGUUUGGGUAAUUUUCAAAGCUUUGUAACUUCUUCGUUUCUUAACCACAUUGAGUGAUUCAAAAUCUAAAAUGUAGUUAGGAAUGUGGAGAAGAGGUUCAUACCAAGUGAGGACCGAGUGGUUACCGGAGUUCACCGAAAAACGACCUGAAAAAUCAUAGCAAAAGACAGCAUAGUGAAAGAGGCUUGAGUUGUAGUGCUAGUUGCUGGAGUCGAAGAAGGGGUUGUGGUAGUGAGAGUAGAAAGAAACGGAGCGGAGGGAGUUGGGAAAGAUUGUGAGGUCGGUUUUGAGGUGGCAUUGGAGAAACUAGUGGAGAAACCAAAAGAGGAUUGCAAAGCGGAGGAAGCCAGAGUUCCGAAGGAAGAGAAUCUGGAAACGGUUAUUGAUGGGGGAGCAGCGGUGGUGGGAGCAGAGGUUGUGGGUUUCAAAAGAGAGGAGGAUGUUGGUAAUGUGAAAGCUGAAAAGGAAGUGGAGAAGCUUUGGAACCAUUGGGUGGUUAGAGCUAUAGAGGAUGACGGUUGGGACGAGGAAGUUGUGCCAGACAGCGGCGAGGGUACGCUGGGUGCAUAGGACGUUGUGCCAAACAAGUGCGAAGCGGAAGUUGAGGGGUUCCAAACAGGGGUGUGGGUGCGCUGGGUGCAAAUGAGGUUGCUCUGAAUGGGGAUGAAGUGGCGAAAGAAGGAGCGCCGAAUAGAAGGGACCAUUGGGUGGUUUGACCUAUAGAGGAUGAAGGUUGGGACGAGGAACUUGUACCAAACAGCGGCGAGGGAGCGCUGGGUGCAUAGGACGUUGUGCUAGACAACUGCGAAGCCAAAGUGGAGGAGGUUCCAAACAGGGGUGUGGGUGCGCUGAGUGCAAAUGAGGUUGCUUCGAAUGGGGAUGAAGUGGCGGAAGAAUGAGCUCUGAAUAGAGGGGACCAUUGGGUGGUUGGAGCUACAAAGGAUGAAGGUUGGGACGAGGAAGUUGUGCCAGACAGCGGCGAGGGUGCGCUGGGUGCAUAGGACGUUGUGCCAAACAACUGCGAAGCAGAAGUGGAGGGGGUUCCAAACAGGGGUGUGGGUGCGCUGGGUGCAAAUGAGGUUGCUCUGAAUGGGGAUGAAGUGGCGGAAGAAUGAGCUCCGAAUAGAAGGGACCAUUGGGUGGUUGGAGCUACAGAGGAUGAAGGUUGGGAUGAGGAACAUGUGCCAAACAACGGUGAGGGAGCGCUGGGUGCAAAUGAGGUUGCUCCGAAUGAGGAUGAAGUGGCAGAAGAAGAAGCUUCGAAUAGAGGGGAGACGGAUGCGGUGAAGGUGGUGGCAGGUGCGGAGGAUAUGAAUGGGGAGGUGCAAGAGCCGGAACAGAAUAAGGAAGGAGGGUUGGAGAAAAAGAAAUGGAAGUGGAUUGGGCGGAAGAGGAAGAAAAGGAAAAGCCAGUGGUGGACGUGGUGGCAGGUGUGGAGGAUAUGAAUGAGGAUGUGGAAGAGCCGGAAAAGAAGAAGAAAUGAGGGUUGGAGAAAGAGAAAGGGGAAGUGGAUUGAGCGGAAGAGGAAGAGAAGGAGAAGCCGGUAGUAGACGUGGUGGCAGGUAUGGAGGAUAUGAAUGGGGAGGUGGAAGAGCCGGAACAAAAGAAGGAAGUAGGGUUGGAGAAAGAGAAAGGGGGGUGGAAAAGGAAGAGAAGGAGAAGCCGGUGGUGGACGUGGUGGCAGGUGCGGAAGAUAUGAAUGGGGAAGUGGAAGAGCCGACUGAGAAGGAAGGAGGGUUGGAGAAAGAGAAAUGGGAAGUGGAUUGGGCGGAAGAGGAAAAUGCCGAGGAUUCAAAUAAAAAGCUCGACAUUGUUUUCUCUCUUCUGCUGCUGCUGCUGCUCUAUGUUAUUGAGAGGUUUUUCAAAUUUUGGGGUUUUUGGUUAACACAUUUCAAAGCCUUCUCUUUUCAUUUUCUGGUUGUCAAUGGCUUCAUCCGCCUAAGUUUUCACAUUCUGGAGAUUUUGUUUCACUUUUACCAUUGUAAGACUAUAGAUCAUAGAUGCUGACAUGGUUGGACAGAUGUCGAAUAAUGGUGUCGUUGCGGCCCCCACCGUCAAAGAAAAAGCAGUCCCCAUGGGCAUUCAAGCUGAAAGAGAACUCAUAAUUGUAUAAAGGUUUUGCAUCACAUUCAUAACUCGAUCCGAAAACUUCACAUCUCAGAUUUUCGAUCUGUAACUUCCAAAGAUUUACAUUAUGCUUCUAAAAUAAUAUACUAAAAUAUUACCAUGAUUCGACAGUCGGAUCUUCGCCAAUCAAAAUUCAAGUGGCAGUCAACAUUUUAUUUUGCGAACUUACUAAUCCAAUUCAGGAAGAUUCAUACGUCAAAUUCCCAAUCCGUAAGUUUCUAUGGUCCUCAAAUAUUACGUACUAUAAUGUAUUAAAGUUUUGUGCCAAUCCAACCAUCAGAUCAUCGAUUGCUAUAAUGUUAAAGAGGCAUACCUUAGAGAAAUUAUACCCAAACGAUGGAAUUUCAUUAAUCGGAUGUCAAAUAUGGAAUCAAGGCAUCCAAAUUAGCCUAGUAAGGUCAGGUGGGGUAUUAGCCUAGCGCUGCCGCACACGGCAACUGACCACCCCAACUCGUCGGAAAAUUCAACUAAUUUCAAAAAUUCUCAAAUUUUACCAGAAUGAAGAUCUCAAUUAGUAGAGCAAGUUUUAUACCUAUGGCCACACCUUAAAUCGCCACAAACCUACCGGAACCCUAGAAAUGGGUGGGUUUCAAUUCACCCUCUCCGAUGCUUUGACGUGCCAACCAAAGCUUGGGACUUGUUCCUGGGUUCAAGAGGUGCUGAAAUAUGGUAGUGGUUGACGAAAGAGCUCGCAGAAAUAGCGGAUUCCACUGUCGUGGCUUCGGAACACCCACCAUAGGGUUUGAAUGGAAAAGGAAGAGAUGAGGCCGAAGUGAUGAAUGGUGGGGGUGGAUGGUCACGAUUCACCAGAAAAAUGGCUGAAAUCACGACGGAAAAGGUGCAAGAAGUCUGGUCAUGAACCCGGUAAAAAAGGAUAUGGUGCUCCUCCACUCAAUAGCAAUUAAAUUGCUACCUCGAAAUAUUGAUCAUUUAAAUACUUGAUUGCAAUACUUAUCUGUCAAUCAUGUAUUAUGCUUAAAAUCUCUAUAUAACAUCUCAAAUGGUGCCAAACCAAAAAUUGAAAUAGUAAUCGUAGUUACAUGCAACCUUAACAAAGAUGAGUGUCUAUUACAAUCAUGCUAAAACUAUAGAACGGAUAAAUGCAACAUGUUCACAAAUGUCUGGAUAGUUCAUUCGAACUAGUAGUUAAUCUGAGGGUGAAAUGUGGUAAUACAUAAUAACUUUGUAACCAUGGUUUUCAAGAAGACUCCCAAAACUUGGAAGUGAUACACGCAUCAUGAUGAGGUACAACAAUGACAUGCACAUUAGGCAUCCAAACAUUAUAAUUCAUAUAUGUCACAACAAGUAGAUUCAUUAUGAAAAUUUCUCUCGAAUUUAGUGAAACACUGUGUCGAGAAGGCUAAAAGAACAAUCAAGAAUUUGAGAAUUAAAAUAAGUCCAUCAAUCUAGAAUACAAAGUAACUAGAUUAAUGCAUAACAUCUCACUACAAUGGUAGCUUCUAGAAUAUUCAAUCACCAACGGUAACGAUUCGCUUAGCAGAGUUUGUUGAGUGAUUGAGAAAUUAAUGGUCACAACUGCAAUUCCAAUGUCAAUGGUUCUUCUAGACAGUUUAUCAACUUCAAAAUAAUGCGAAGUGCAAUAGGGUAGGUAGUACCCAAGGUUGACUGGAAUGCCUUCUAACACAAAAGGUGAAUAUGAAAUCACAAUCAAAGUAGAUGUUGAUCAAAAUGUCAGAAAAUCUGAAAAAUUCAAGAAUGAGUAAUUUUCUCAAGUGAUCAAAAUGUAUUCCCUAUGGACCAAUGGAAAGUAAGCUAACUUGUCAAGUCGGCGAUAAUCACCGAAACAUCAUUGUAAUAUCCACAUAUACAAGAUACCUCAUACCAGGAGCUUAUGGUGAUAUUUCUCAUCUCCAUUUGGAUAUAGAAAGUGAAUAUAACCACUCGAACGAUUUCUUGAUAAUUUGUAAGUAACGUCAACCCAAUGCUCAUGAAUUCCAACUAAAAUGAAAUAGGACAGACUAAAAGCAUUUCGGGAGUAGAUAAUGUCUUUUGAUGUGGCAAACAGUAAUUACGUUUCCACAACGAGGAUGAUACACGAUUGUGUAAUUGUAGAUGUUAAUUUGGUUCCUCUAUCACCAUUGUCAGAAAUCUAUUUCUUUCCAAAUGGAUAUGUACUUGCGAGGUCUAAGAUUGAUAGAGAUUUUGGACACGUUUCUCUAUAGAGAAGUGUCAUUCAGUUUUUAAGUAAGAUGGUAACUAUUGACUCUAAGUUAUGAAUAAGAUGGUUCAUUCCAAACGGUUCUACACGUUGGGAAAUAUAAGCGAUUCUCCGUCAUGCUGCCUCUGUACAGCCAAAACAUCCAAAGAACACAUCAUCAUGGAUUUUCAAAAUAAUUAUUAUCAUCGAAAGGUGUAAAACGAAGGUAAGAUGAGACAACAAUUUAGUUGUCAGAAACUUUAUUCAUAAUCAACAUCAUAACUAAAUUAACUUUCCUCGAUCGUAAAUGAGGAAAAAACACUACAGCCGAAGGAUCGCUAACAAAUUGUCGAUAAAAUCGACAUGACCAAAGAUAUCUCGAACGUCACUACACUUCGUGUGAAUUUCAACUUUCUUCCACUAAACCCUUUUUGGAAAAGAAAAGAUUAUCGUUUACGAAGAUCACGUCUCCCAAGAAAAGUACCAAUUUAAUCAAAGUUAAUAGUUGAGCACUUUGGUAUAAAGCUGACUAUUGAUAUUUAGAGAAUUUGGUCUCACUGUCAAGGUAGAUGAAAAAGUCAUCGAUAAGACCACUAUGAAUACGUUAGGCUAUGGGAGAAAACUCAGGUUACAAAGGUUGGUCAGCUCGACCAUCAACUCGAAAUAGGGGCUAACGGUUUUUGGUCGUCACGUGAUUGAGUCGCUAAAGUCUAGGUACAACCCUAAGGUUCAACCUUUCGCCUUUACGAAUAGGUUUGAGAUUCUCUAGAUAAAGUGUUUGGUUAGAUACAGGGUCGGGCGUGUCAGUUUGGUAUUAGAGCGUGGUUUGUUCAUAGCAUACUUAGGAUCUUCUAUUAUUGUAGUAGUGUGUCGAUCAUGACGUCAUUUGGAUGUCACGACUUCCUGAUUUGUUGUCUUUCGGCACAGUUAUGCAACCCUCAUUCUGCAUGAAUAGUCACAUCUUAUGGAAGAAAAAGAAAAUUCGUGUUGGGAUUUUGCCUCAGUGUUGACGAAAUGGAUUGUUGAACAACUUUCAACAUCGAACUGAUACUCUAUAGCAUGCGUUCCCUAAGAAUUGCGAGUAGAGUUGGUGUUUACAUUGAAGUGACUAUCUAAGCCGAAGAAACUAUCAUAGACACUUAAGAGCAAGUCUUGUAGAAUGACUGUAACCUCCUAGUUGUUUUAACCAUGUUUUCCACUUAGGUAACCAAAACCUCUUCGUCUAGCCACAUUUUCGAUCACUUCCACAAGUGGACAAUAGAAUCGAAGUACAAGUUAACUUCUCAUUAUUAGAGUGAAGUAGCGUAUCGAGAAAGCUACAAAGACUUAUUAGCACGUGUCUACCCUGGUGUUCGGUAGAUAUCAGGGUCGGGCGUGUCAGCGAGUAUCUUUGACAUAAUUCAAAGACGUAGUAACUAAAGUAUGCUUAAUAGACCUCCAAGAAAUUGUGGUUCCACCAACAAUACCCAUUUAGGAUCUUGCCAUGUACGGAUCGAAUAAGUACAUAGCGUCAACAUAACCAACAAAAGCAACUCGAAAACUAGGGGGAGGGGGGACGGUUGCACUCAAAGUUGAGUAAGGAUAGGACAAACACAAGUCCACAACACUAUUAAGAUAACAUAGAGUUUUUUUAACACAUUUCAAUGUCUGCAUGUUGGCACAUGAUUGUGUUAUGCUAAGAGAUUUAUAAUGCAGGAGAUGUUAGGUCUUGUACACUGAGAUAAGUACAACAAAGCACCAAUUGCACUUAAGUAUGGAACCUCAGGUUCUAAAACUUCUUCAUCAUCUAUCUUUGGACGGUAUAGGUCUUAUUGUGCAUCAAGCGUACAGAUGACAAUGAGAGUACUCAAAGUCCACGCUUUAUCAUUAAAGCAUUGUAACAUCGUCUUGGUGUAGUUUGACUAGUUGACCAUGACUAAUGGACCAUAAUGUUGGAUUGUGAACUACCUUAGUAUAUAUGUGCAGAAGUGUGGAGGUUGGCAUAAACAUAAAUAAUCAUUUUAACAUGCAUGUUUGCGAAAUGCUGGAUUCCAUUUAAUCAUAUUAAAUUAAUUUAUGUAUUGGUUAUGUUCAUGUAUAAUAAAAUUAAGAACACAUGUAUAAACUUAGAGUACGUUUUAGAAUUCUAACCUUUAGAUUUCAUAGGUGGACGAAUUCAAUGUUGUUGAGGCUACUAAGUGUUAGCCGUCUACUAGUAUCUACACAAAUAAAUCUUCGGCUAGUGAAGCAAGAAGACAACGAUCUGCUAGAACUUUAUCUAUUAGGUAGGUGCUGCGGCAGAGGUACAAUGCAUUGUUAUGAAGUUGGUCUAUAUUGUCACGCCUCGCCCCGAAAUAUAAAUAUAUUAAAUCUUCGGCUAGCGAAGCAAGAAGACGACGAUCUGCUAGAACUUUAUCUAUCAGGUAGGUGCUGCGGCAGAGUGACAAUGCAUUGUUAUGAAGUUGGUCUAUAUUGUCACGCCCCGCCCCAAAAUAUAAAUAUAUUUCGGGAAUUAAUUAUGGUAGGCCCAACUUAAAAACGUAGUUAAUUUAUUUCCUUUAACCACAUCCCUCUAAGUCAAUAUUACUUACUAUUACAAGCUAUCCAUAUUUUCUUAAAAUGUCAAACAUAUCUUUCAUUUAACAAUUGAAUUCACUAAUAUUAGUUGUCAUUCUCCAAAUAAUUCCCUUCGUCCCACGUAGAAUCUAUAACCAUUAUUCGUUUACCAAGAUAUACAAUUUACUUUCCAAUUUAGAACCAUUUCCUUCUCUUAGAUCAAAUUCCAUCUAAACACUAAUUCUCGAUUAUUUAGUCUCACUUAUUUAUGGCUGCAUCUAACGUCUUGUUAGACUGCCUACGUACCCUAAACAAAGAUCAAGCCAUUCGUAGUUCACAAAUUCAAAUUCAAUUAAACUUUGAUAUUUCUACACAUAAUUAACAAUCACCAACUAGCUUCAAAUAAGUGUAUCACAUUAAAUACUUAUUUAACUUGAAUCCAAAACAUCAAAUUUAGCUUAAAAUACGGCAUCGGUUCCCUAGCCAUGCGUCGUCGCCGUCCUGACUUGCCGAAAAAUUCAACUAUUUCUAAAAAUUCUCAAAAAUUACAAAAAUGAAGAUCUCAAAGAGUAGAGCAAACUUUAUACCUAUGGCCAAGCCCAAUUUGGCCGGGAAACACCUCAAAUUGGCCACGAACUGCCGAAAACUCUUGUUUUGGGUGUUCUUGAUUUGUCUCCAAAACAACUUCGACGCCUCAACCAAUGCAUGGGCUUUGUUCUAGGCCUCAAGAAGAGUAUGAGAGUAGUGGUAAUUGAAUGAAAUCACUUCAAAAUUUGGUGAAUUUUGACACCUACACCGUCGCACCCACCGGUGCGUUUUACCCCAUUUCAAGGUCAAAUUUCAUGAUUUUUGGGGGGUAACAGGGUUAGGGAAGGUCAUUGAGGGUUUUCCAAGUGGUAGUUUAAAUUGAUUUGCUGGAAAAUGGGCUAAAACUCACCAAAAAUAGCAAGGAAAACCGACCGAAUCGAGUCGGGUCCUUUCAGGUCAGGGAUCCCCCGUACCCCUUUUCUCUCAUUUUCCCCCCUUUCUCCUUUCUCCCAUUGGUCAACCUCCCCCUAUUCCUUCCUUCCUUUUCUCCUUUCUAUUCUUUUCUUUCAAUCUCAACCGUCCAUUUCUUUAUUUAUUUUCAUCUCAGCCACACACGUGGCACAACCAUUGGAUCAAAUUUUCUGGAGCCUUCUACCAUAAAAUGAAAUUAUUAAAAUAUCCUUAACUUUAAACGUUAAUAUCUUCUUUGUUAUAACUUCGUUUCAUGAACGGUUUGUGCCUACACAUUCAUGAGAUCGAGCUCUAUUCAAAAAUAUAAAUUGUCACUCUGAAUAGUUUUCGGAUUUUUAAAUAAUAAAUUCCCAAACUUAGAACUUCUUAACCAGUUUAAUUUAAAACUAAACUCGAAUAAAUUAAUAUAAUUUCUUGAAAAAUAAUCUAAAAUCUCAAUCAUACAAAUACAUAAAUUAUAAUAAUUUCCGAAAAUAAAACUUUAAAAUUUUCCAAUUCUACUUUCAUAACCAUAAAUCGAUUUAUUUUCAAUUUUCUCCACAUAUUCAUAUAUUUAAAAUUUCAGGGUAUUACAUAUAUUGUAUUGGAAAAUAAACAACAAGAAAGUUCAGAUGCCAUACCCUUUAAUAGCCAUAACAAGUGUUGAAGUUGUCGAAGUUGUAGUUUUACUAGAACUGUUUGUUGUCGUUUCAGGUACAAUGUAAGGAAUAUUUCGUCAAAACUAGGUUUAUGGAUAAAAAAUAAAAAAAAACAUACCAACUCAAGCAGUAAGGAUAAACAACUAAAUUAUUCUAAACAAGUGAACUCCAAAUGUAAUGACCUGUCUCAAAAUUUUAUAAAUUUCAGAACGACAAGGGUAAAUUGGUAUUUUCACAUGUGAGAGAUAUUUGCAUGUUUGUCUCUUAUGACUUGUUUGGUGCGCCAAUGAGGCCCACCGCUUUUAUUUGGGGACUAGGAUUAUCUCUUCUGACACACCCUGACCCAAAAUAUCGAGAUGUGCUGGCAGUCACGUGAGGAUGACGUAGCCAUGCGCGUUGUGCGGAAGAAUUAAAGUGAAAGACAGUGAGGAAACGAAAAGUAAACCGAAUAAUUUACAUCAAAAGAUAAGUGAGUAAAAGUGAUGAAAAGGAAAGCAUAAAGCACCACAUCAAAGUUCAAGUAACCUAGGUGCAGUCCGGAAUAAACAAGUACUGAAUAAACGUUAACCAAAUAAAUCCUACAUGGAUGAUGCCUUGUUAAAACUGUCUCGAUGCCUCGCUCGCCACCAACGUCGCAACUACCUAAAACUUGGAGCGGCGCAAAACUGAAAACAUGAGUGGGUAAAAACAAAGUUUUUCCAAAACCGUUUCAAUAUCAAAAUAGUAACCCCUCUCCCUAUACUUUCUCAGAAAAUAUCAUCCAUACUCAAAUAUCAAUCAUGCUGGAAAACGAUAAAUCUCAAAUAUGCCAUGUUAGAAUACGACAUGUCGAAUUACCCAAUCAAAACAAAAUAAGUAUCAAGUAGGUGAGAUAAAUCAAAUCAUAAUAUGCCGCCAAUCUCAAUACGUCAGUUGGAGUCACCUAACGUGAACUGUACGACUGAAUAUAUAGCUCCUCAAUCACUAUCUUGCACACGAGUCGGAACCACCUAUAGUGGUCUGUACGACAGGCUGGGUGUAUAAUUACGCUCAGUGCUACGAUCACGUGAAGGCUGUGCAACGUAUCACAAGUCACCUAUGAGUCGGAACCACCUAUAGUGGUCUGUACGACAGGCUGGCACCUGCCUUGGGUCCAAGGUGAGCGUACGGUGCGGGAGGUGAACGAUCACGUGAAGGCUAUGCCGUACUCUGGCAGAGCACAAACACCGGGGUGCAGGAAUAUGAGCUAUAUCUCAAUCUCAUCAUCAUCACAACUAUCACUAACAAGUAUACUCACCUGACUUACCUGAGCGACGCCAAUUCAUAACCAACAUAAAUCAUAAUAAACAAUAAUGAUAUUCGACAUGGCAUUUCAAUUAUAAAACCAUUUUAAAACAUAAUAUCUGGGAAAAUAUCAAAUAUAUAUAUAUAUAUUCUGAAAACAAAAGCCCACUCACUGAUAAGUAGAAGGGUCUUAGCCCCCGAGCCUGGCAUGGCUGUGCUCGUCUUCUGGAUAAGCCUUACCUAUAUGUGAAACAACUAUAAAACCGUCAAUUAAACGCACAUAACCAACCUUAGGUAAUAACUUCUCAUACAUUGCUCAAUUGGAGGUGUUUGAAUCUAACAACAUGCUUUACUUAAUCUCAGAACACCCUCAUAUUUUUAGAAAAAAUUUCUUGUCACCCACGCGUAGGCACGUGCCUGGCACACGGACGGAACAGUUAAUGCCGUAAGGAAUAUUUUGUUAAAAAGUAACAGAUUCCAUUAAAUCUAACCUGACACUGUUAGAAUAUUCCAUCAAACUUGACGGAAUAUUCAUCGUCUCCUUCCUUGAGUCACGGGAGUCCGGCGCCGGUCGCCGUCUGUUUGCGGGUUUCUGGAAAAUUUUCAAAUGUUGAUAUCUCAGUCAAAUCUUAACUAAAUUUCACGAAAUUAACGUCAAAAUGAAGCUUAGGACAAGGGGAAGAAAUCUAUACCAAUUUGAGGUCCCAACGAUGCUGGAAUCUCGCCAGAGAAAUCUCGAAAAAUCUGAUCAACUAUAGAACUCAAGAUUUCGACAUCCAAAACACGUCAACGUUGCUCCCCAAGCUUCGUGAAGACGUCUAGAAACUCCCUGUGAUCUUAGAAUCUCUAAAAACCUCCUCAAUCACGAGUGCAUGAACAAUACCUUUAUUGGAGCUUUCAGGUUUCAAGGGUUUUCAAGGUUUUCAGGACAAACCAAGGGUAUAGUUGAACUUGCAAGGGUGCAAGGAGAAGCAUGUAUAUCCGUACUUAGGGUAUGGAAAAUAGAAGAAAAAUCGAGAAGGAGGGAGAGACAGAACCAGAAACAGAAAAGGAAGAAAAAGGGGUGCACGUGUGCAUGUGUGUGUAUAAGUUUAACCAAUCACACCAAAACUAAGCUCAAGUUCUAAUUGGGUCCAAUAAUUUGGGAUAUCACCCUAUUGGCCCAAUGUAGCUCACACACAUAACCACAAACACGUAAGGGUAAAAACGUCAAUUCAUGCCGUCGAUAAAAUUAUUUCGGGACGGUCUGUCACAUCCUCUCUUUUUUCACCCCCUUCUUUAAUAUUCUUUAUUUUGUAUUUUUUUAUAUAAAUAAAAUAUUAAUAUAAAAUGUAAUCAUGAUCUAUUUGAACGGAAAUUGGAUGGAAAAAAAAAAGAUGAGAGACUUCUCAUUUAUUUGGUCUCCUGGUCCUCCCUCUCUCUUCCUUUUCCCCGUCACUCUCCUCUCAUCUUGGACUAUCACACUCUCUAACUCUCCCGGCCCUCAUCUCUCUCGCACGACCCUCAUCCUCCUUCAAAACCCAAAAAACUGGCGAUUCCACGGAACUGAAACCAAGCUGAAGUCCCCAUCCUUCUCUGUUCCCCCAUCAUCACUGUUCUCUCCUCCCUCGGAACCCUGCAACAUCACCAUCGCGGCAGAGCCGCCUUCUCCGGCGAGUUCGUCGAUUUCCCGACUUGGGGUAAGCCUCGGGAUGCUUAAGAUCUUCAACUGUUACUUAUCUUUUUGUCCUAUUUGCUGCUAAUGAUUUGUAGCAAGAGUUGAUUUUUAACUGUUUCUAAUUGGUAAUGGAUUAAAGGAAGUUCAUUUACUAUUAGAGGUGCAUGUGAAAGUAAGCUUGAUUCGUAACCUCGUCGAGCAUUUGGAGCUCGCUUUGACUGAGGUUUUUCGAUUUGAUGUGAUGGCGUAUAAGCUUUUCUCAGUUUCUCGGUCAUUUUAAGGGUGACCAAGAUUAUCUCUGUGAGCAAUGUUGAGGUUAGGGAUUGGAAGUAAAUGAAAAGGGGUGUCUUUUCAUCAAAGGCUGAGGCCAAGAUUAUCUUUUGAGAAAACUUUGAGGCCUUACCUAGAUUGCAAGUCUCUGUUAAGUUCCAAUUGACGAAGAUGUUUAAAACUGUUGAAAUUAUACUGCCUUAAUUGAAAGGAGGCCUUACCUAGGAUAAUAUCUAGCUCAUUCGGGGUCUUUUUUUGGUUCUUUAACUACAUGAAAUUUGCAUUGAGAUGAAUUCUUAUCCUGAAUGAGUACAUGUGAGAAUCACGCGUGAUUGACGGAAAAUUAUGAAAUAAGAUAAUGAAUUCCGAAGGCUGGGUGCUCAGCUGGAGAUGCGGAUAAACAAAGAAUUAUAUGUUGAUUUGAAAAGGAAGACGUUUAUAUUGUUGAUUGGAGUAUAUAUGGCCGAUGAGAAUAUGCUAAACCGAUAGUUGCUCCUUGUAGGUUGCGGGGGAAGUGGUAACAUUAUGUGUUCAGAAUGUGGUGGCCGCGGGUAUCUAAGAUGACCAUACCGGUUCGCUUAUCUUCCUUGAAUUUGUUGUAUGUGCAAGUAACUUGUGUUAUAGCCAUGACGCUUUCCCUAAUUUUUUGUGGCUGAUUCCACGAUGAGUUAAGUGUAACAGUAAUGCAUCUGAUUCAUUUACUCUUCGAAAUGGUGUUCUUCCUCAGAUUUAUGUGCCAUUUAUCGUGUUGAAUGUUCAGAACCAUACAAUUACCACAUAACAAACACAAAGGAAACGAAAAAACUUGAAACAAAAGUUGACAAACAAACAACCAACGACAUAAGAAAACAGACUGCAUACUUUUAUUUAGACCAUUUUUAGUACCCUCAAAACUAAUUGGCAAGUUAGUUAAUCCCCAUGAGUGACAAUGCUGUCCAUAUUCUUGGCAACUACCUCCUUAGAAUCCCUCAGUUUUCUUAUGCUUUUGUUAAGCUUCUCACGCUUUACUGCCACUGCCGGGGACUCCUCCAACAUCCUCUCAAUUCCCCCACCGUAUGGUCCCAUCAACUCAUUCACAAUCUCAGCUUCCAUCUCUUUGUUCACAAGGUUGAAAACAGACAGCUGCAAGUGCAAUGCCAUGGAGUCCACAAGCCUCCUCAAAACAACCUUCCAAUAGGCAAUCAUUCUCAUUUUAAGGUCAUAAGCUUGAGCUAAAACAUGCGGGUACUUCCUCAGAACACCGACUUCGACUUCCCCGAUGCCUUCUAUAGCUAUG